This 369-nucleotide ribosomal RNA is filed under the name uncultured Streptococcus sp. RNAcentral's name for it is "bacterial SSU rRNA". It matches the Rfam family "Bacterial small subunit ribosomal RNA", at positions 1008 to 1382 of the family's 1533-position model. Lineage: Bacteria; Bacillati; Bacillota; Bacilli; Lactobacillales; Streptococcaceae. The record is from RNAcentral.
UAGAAAGUUACUUCGGUACAUCGGUGACAGGUGGUGCAUGGUUGUCGUCAGCUCGUGUCGUGAGAUGUUGGGUUAAGUCCCGCAACGAGCGCAACCCCUAUUGUUAGUUGCCAUCAUUCAGUUGGGCACUCUAGCGAGACUGCGGUAAUAACCGGAGGAAGUGGGAUGACGUCAAAUCAUCAUGCCCCUUAUGACCUGGGCUACACACGUGCUACAAUGGUUGGUACAACGAGUUGCGAGUCGGUGACGGCGAGCUAAUCUCUUAAAGCCAAUCUCAGCUCGGAUUGUAGGCUGCAACUCGCCUACAUGAAGUCGGAAUCGCUAGUAAUCGCGGAUCAGCACGCCGCGGUGAAUACGUUCCCGGGCCUU